Molecule: ribosomal RNA, 1346 nt
Filed under: uncultured bacterium
Lineage: Bacteria
Description: bacterial SSU rRNA
Rfam family: Bacterial small subunit ribosomal RNA
Source: RNAcentral
GACGAACUUUGGCGGCGUGCUUAACACAUGCAAGUCGAACGGAAAGGCCCUGCUUUUGUGGGGUGCUCGAGUGGCGAACGGGUGAGUAACACGUGAGUAACCUGCCCUUGACUUUGGGAUAACUUCAGGAAACUGGGGCUAAUACCGGAUAGGAGCUCCUGCUGCAUGGUGGGGGUUGGAAAGUUUCGGCGGUUGGGGAUGGACUCGCGGCUUAUCAGCUUGUUGGUGGGGUAGUGGCUUACCAAGGCUUUGACGGGUAGCCGGCCUGAGAGGGUGACCGGCCACAUUGGGACUGAGAUACGGCCCAGACUCCUACGGGAGGCAGCAGUGGGGAAUAUUGCACAAUGGGCGGAAGCCUGAUGCAGCAACGCCGCGUGCGGGAUGACGGCCUUCGGGUUGUAAACCGCUUUCGCCUGUGACGAAGCGUGAGUGACGGUAAUGGGUAAAGAAGCACCGGCUAACUACGUGCCAGCAGCCGCGGUGAUACGUAGGGUGCGAGCGUUGUCCGGAUUUAUCGGGCGUAAAGGGCUCGUAGGUGGUUGAUCGCGUCGGAAGUGUAAUCUUGGGGCUUAACCCUGAGCGUGCUUUCGAUACGGGUUGACUUGAGGAAGGUAGGGGAGAAUGGAAUUCCUGGUGGAGCGGUGGAAUGCGCAGAUAUCAGGAGGAACACCAGUGGCGAAGGCGGUUCUCUGGGCCUUUCCUGACGCUGAGGAGCGAAAGCGUGGGGAGCGAACAGGCUUAGAUACCCUGGUAGUCCACGCUGUAAACGGUGGGUACUAGGUGUGGGGUCCAUUCCACGGGUUCCGUGCCGUAGCUAACGCUUUAAGUACCCCGCCUGGGGAGUACGGCCGCAAGGCUAAAACUCAAAGGAAUUGACGGGGCCCCGCACAAGCGGCGGAGCAUGCGGAUUAAUUCGAUGCAACGCGUAGAACCUUACCUGGGUUUGACAUGGAUCGGGAGCGCUCAGAGAUGGGUGUGCCUCUUUUGGGGUCGGUUCACAGGUGGUGCAUGGCUGUCGUCAGCUCGUGUCGUGAGAUGUUGGGUUAAGUCCCGCAACGAGCGCAACCCUUGUUCACUGUUGCCAGCACGUUAUGGUGGGGACUCAGUGGAGACCGCCGGGGUCAACUCGGAGGAAGGUGGGGAUGACGUCAAGUCAUCAUGCCCCUUAUGUCCAGGGCUUCACGCAUGCUACAAUGGCUGGUACAGAGAGUGGCGAGCCUGUGAGGGUGAGCGAAUCUCGGAAAGCCGGUCUCGGUUCGGAUUGGGGUCUGCAACUCGACCUCAUGAAGUCGGAGUCGCUAGUAAUCGCAGAUCAGCAACGCUGCGGUGAAUACGUUCCCGGGGCU